CGGCGCAGACUGGCGCCAAGGGAGCUAUUGAAGAACACGGGCCCGGCAUCGGGUCAUCGUGGGGUGGAGCGGUGCAGCGCACCGCACGUACUGACACGACUCUCGACAAUGGAUAUCUCGGCUCUCGCAUCGAUGAAGAGCGCAGCGAAAUGCGAUACGUGGUGCGAAUUGCAGAAUCCCGCGAACCAUCGAGUCUUUGAACGCAAGUUGCGCCCGAGGCCAAUCGGUCGAGGGCACGUCCGCCUGGGCGUCAAGCGUUGCGCCGCUCCGUGCCGAGUCCCCACCAACCCGCCGCGGUGGGGGUGCCGGGCGAGGCUCGGAUGUGCAGAGUGGCUCGUCGUGCCCGUCGGUGCGGCGGGCUGAAGAUCGGGUUAUCGUCUCAUUGGCCACGAACAACGAGGGGUGGAUGAAAGCUGCCGCGGGCGAGGCCCGCGUUGUCUCGUGCCGGCCCGAGAGAAGAUCACACCCUUCGUGCGAUCCCAUCCCACGCGCCGCCACCCGUGCGGCGGCUUGGAAUGCGACCCCAGGACGGGCGAGACCACCCGCCGAGUUUAAGCAUAUCAAUAAGCGGAGGAGAAGAAACUUACGAGGAUUCCCCUAGUAACGGCGAGCGAACCGGGACAUGCCCAGCAUGGGAAUCGGGCCGCCCUGCGGCGGCUC
Molecule: ribosomal RNA, 660 nt
Filed under: Aerides aff. lawrenceae Sul065
Lineage: Eukaryota; Viridiplantae; Streptophyta; Magnoliopsida; Asparagales; Orchidaceae
Description: eukaryotic LSU rRNA
Rfam family: 5.8S ribosomal RNA (bases 98-253)
Source: RNAcentral